Molecule: long non-coding RNA, 1021 nt
Organism: Carassius carassius (crucian carp)
Lineage: Eukaryota; Metazoa; Chordata; Actinopteri; Cypriniformes; Cyprinidae
Exons: 2
Source: RefSeq, a predicted model, not a curated record
UCGUGGCACAGAAAUGACACAUUUCACCUUUAAAUAAAUCAUGACAUCACUUUUCAGUGUUUGACAUUCUUUACGACAUCAUGGCGUGUGUCUGUCCCACGGCUGUGUGCGGUAAUGGCUUCCUGAUUGACAGGUCUGGUUUAGAUGUAGCAUUUGAUGUAAUCUUGAGGCGCUCACAGUUUCGGCCUCAUGAAGCAGCCAGUUUAAGGGCCUAGCCGCACGUUGGGGUGCAUGUAAAGAUUCAUGUGGGCUGUCUGUAGUGUUAUACAACUACCCCCUUGUAAUUAUUUAUUAUGUAAUAUUUAUUAAUUGUACUUUUUUUCUCCUUUUGGAGCCAAUAUUAGCGGGAAGAAGCUUGUAAAGAUGACUAUGUUUGACACUCAAUUGGUUUAACCCGCAACAUUGUUUUUUAACUCUCUUAACUGAAGAGCUGAUGGCUGAUUAAUGGAUCCAGGGAUAUGUCGGAUGUUGGAAAAUACAGUGUCUUAACACGGGACAGGGUAUGGGACAUUGUAUUUGUAUGCGCACAAGCAAGGAAGGAAGACUGCAAGUUGAGUCUGAAAAAUUCAACCUGGACUGAAUAUUGAGCAGCAGGACUGCAAACAACACACCAUGAACCUCCCUGCCUCUUCAUCUGAAUCAUUGUAGCGAAUCGAAAUGUCUCAAUCCUGGAGACGUGUCACUUUUGAGGAAGAUAAUUGUUCUUGAGCCACCAAAUAGGACUCUGAAACUUAACGGUACAAACUUUGAGCAAGUGCAAGUAGAUUUUUAUAGUCCUGUUUUAAAGCAUGAGGACACUGAAAGUGAGAGAAUGAGCUUUUGGCUCUUUUAUGCUUUAUGGAUGUGAAAUGAUGUAAGAGAUGUAAUUUUAUACAUUCUUAGUAAUGGCUUUCUUAAAGGGACCUCUAUAGCCUACUUUUCGCUUUGGCUGUUGUGCUGACAUGAUUUUCCCGUUUAGGGUAGAACUCAGACGCUGUUGUAAUAAAAGAUUGUGAUGAUUAUUUCACCAUCUCUGCCUGUA